CCCUUAGUAACGGCGAGCGAAAAGGGAAAAGUCCAGCGCCAAGUCUUGACGCCCCAAGCGUUCAAGAGAUGCGGCGUUAAUGUAUUAUCGCAUCGUACAUUGUUGCCUGUUUCAAGUUCCCUUGACAGGGACAUCCAUAGCGGGUGCUAGGCCCAUAGAGGCAGACAACCGGUGUGCGCAGAUAAUGCAUUCUAGAGUCAGGUUGCUUGAGAGUGCAGCUUAAAGUAGGUGGUAAACUCCAUCUAAGGCUAAAUAUGACAGCGAGACCGAUAGCAAACAAGUACCGUGAGGGAAAGUUGCAAAGCACUUUGAAGAGAGAGUUCAACAGUACGUGAAACCACUGGGAGGCAAACAGAUGGAACCACGAAGUUGCGCCUCGCUCGAUUCAAUCAUUGUUUCCAGUUACCGGUUCUUGUGUGGAUCUUUUCGGAGAUUAGCAAGUGUCGUGGAACUGGUUACAGUGGUGCAUUUCGUGUGAGGAUGCUAAGCCACGUUCGAUUAGAGUUGGGACGGCCGUAGGACAGAAUUCGAGGAAGGUGACCGGAAAAUGCUUGCAUUUUUCGGUGUUAUAGCCUUGAAUUGGUACCGUCGCCUAACAAACUGAUCGAUAGAAAUUCUCCUUAGGAGUUGAACUGUGUCUGCCUGUAGCCGUUAGUUAACAUUUUGAAUUGUUCUUUACGUAUCUUUGGUGCGGAAAGGCUGUUCAACAAUGUUGGUUGAUGGCUGCUUGCGUGACAUGGUGGAACUGUGGCGCGAGUAGGUCGGUUUCCCUCUGACCC
This 779-nucleotide ribosomal RNA is filed under the name Analges lusciniae. RNAcentral's name for it is "partial large subunit ribosomal RNA". It matches the Rfam family "Eukaryotic large subunit ribosomal RNA", at positions 77 to 650 of the family's 3401-position model. Lineage: Eukaryota; Metazoa; Arthropoda; Arachnida; Sarcoptiformes; Analgidae. The record is from RNAcentral.